CGAGUAAUCCUGACGGUCGCGUACCGGCUCGACUGGUAUGAGGAAAGUCCGGGCUGCAUAGGGUAAGGAUAGCAGAUAACGUCUGCCGAAGGCAACUUCAGGAAUAGUGCAACAGAGAUAUACCGCCAGAGUUUGUGCUCUGGUAAGGGUGGAAAGGCGAGGUAAGAGCUCACCACGCCCCAUGGUAACAUGGGGGGUCUGUAAACUCUAUCCGCAGCAACAUCGACAGGAGCUAUGACUGACCCGGUCGCUCCGACUGAUGGCUUGAGGCGUGCGGCGACGUGCGUCCCAGAUAGAUGAUCGUCCACGACAGAACCCGGCUUACGGAUUGCUCGUACC
Molecule: non-coding RNA, 339 nt
Organism: Butyricicoccus pullicaecorum 1.2
Lineage: Bacteria; Bacillati; Bacillota; Clostridia; Eubacteriales; Butyricicoccaceae
Rfam family: Bacterial RNase P class A
About the family: Ribonuclease P (RNase P) is a ubiquitous endoribonuclease, found in archaea, bacteria and eukarya as well as chloroplasts and mitochondria. Its best characterised activity is the generation of mature 5'-ends of tRNAs by cleaving the 5'-leader elements of precursor-tRNAs. Cellular RNase Ps are ribonucleoproteins.
Source: Rfam